UACGGAGGGAGCUAGCGUUGUUCGGAAUUACUGGGCGUAAAGCGCACGUAGGCGGCUUUGUAAGUUAGAGGUGAAAGCCCGGAGCUCAACUCCGGAACUGCCUUUAAGACUGCAUCGCUUGAAUCCAGGAGAGGUGAGUGGAAUUCCGAGUGUAGAGGUGAAAUUCGUAGAUAUUCGGAAGAACACCAGUGGCGAAGGCGGCUCACUGGACUGGUAUUGACACUGAGGAGCGAAAGCGUGGGGAGCGAACAGG
RNAcentral lists this ribosomal RNA (253 nucleotides) under uncultured bacterium. RNAcentral describes it as "partial 16S ribosomal RNA". It matches the Rfam family "Bacterial small subunit ribosomal RNA", at positions 524 to 776 of the family's 1533-position model. The record is from RNAcentral.